GUUAAUCUUCGUUAGGUGAGGCUCCUAUACGGAUACACGCUGCUGCCCGGAAACAUCGAGAGAUGCCAAUGGGCCAACAGGUAUUACCGAAGUAAGGUUUUACUUAAUGCAGCUGGAUGUUGAUGAUCCAAAGCUGUAUAGUGCCAAAGCUCUGCGAGUGAAGAUAAGA
RNAcentral lists this small RNA (169 nucleotides) under Clostridia bacterium. RNAcentral describes it as "Magnesium sequence". It matches the Rfam family "M-box riboswitch aptamer (ykoK leader)". Rfam says of the family: M-box riboswitch, also know as ykoK leader is described as a metaloregulatory RNA that sense divalent metals and function as a genetic control element of genes related to divalent metal transport in bacteria. The record is from RNAcentral. Lineage: Bacteria; Bacillati; Bacillota; Clostridia.